RNAcentral lists this ribosomal RNA (478 nucleotides) under uncultured bacterium. RNAcentral describes it as "partial 16S ribosomal RNA". It matches the Rfam family "Bacterial small subunit ribosomal RNA", at positions 28 to 507 of the family's 1533-position model. The record is from RNAcentral.
GACGAACGCUGGCGGCGUGCUUAACACAUGCAAGUCGAACGGGAUUUAGUAGACAGAAGCCUCGGCUAAAGAUUACUAAUGAGAGUGGCGAACGGGUGAGUAACGCGUGAGCAACCUUCCUAUGACAGUGGGAUAGCCUCGGGAAACCGGGAUUAAUACCGCAUAAAAUCGUAGAAACACAUGUUUUAACGGUCAAAGAUUUAUCGGUCAUAGAUGGGCUCGCGUCUGAUUAGCUAGUUGGUGAGAUAACAGCCCACCAAGGCGACGAUCAGUAGCCGGUCUGAGAGGAUGACCGGCCACAUUGGAACUGAGACACGGUCCAAACUCCUACGGGAGGCAGCAGUGGGGAAUAUUGCACAAUGGGGGAAACCCUGAUGCAGCGACGCCGCGUGAACGAAGAAGGUAUUCGUAUCGUAAAGUUCUGUCCUAUGGGAAGAUAAUGACAGUACCAUAGAAGAAAGCUCCGGCUAACUACGUG